This 507-nucleotide long non-coding RNA is filed under the name Serinus canaria (Common canary). RNAcentral describes it as "lncRNA (ENSSCAG00000002763.1)". The record is from RNAcentral. Lineage: Eukaryota; Metazoa; Chordata; Aves; Passeriformes; Fringillidae.
GGAAGUUAAAGCAACCCUAAAGAUCGGUUUUUAAAGAAGCCACGGUGUCACUGGUUUAAAAAGAGCUGCGUUUUUAGUGCUGUCGGCUAUGCUCAGGAUUUUCCAGGUUUGAAUAGCUCAUAAUGUCAUCACCAUUGGCAAAUGCAAUGAAGAGGGCAAGGUUGAAGCUGUCCAGGAUAUUCUAUGAGUGAAUGUGCGAGGCUGUUUAUACACAGCCAGGCUCGAGUCUCUGUGCUGCUCUGAGGAUUCCAUGCUGGUGUCCAUGCUCACUGGUGAAAGGGGAUGAAUCAGGCUUUGUUGGAUUUCUGUGAUUCUUACCAUUUAGAUUGCACCAAGCCUACAGUUUGGCUCCUGCACUAUCUCAACACUUGUGGAGCAAGCUGUGAAAGGAAAAUUAUUGGUGUCAGCUACUGCAGAGUGCCUCAGGAGCUGACUGAAUGUUGGACUCUGGAAGAACACCCUCUGAGAGGCAGUUUGCAUCAUAUGCCUCCAGUUUAUAAAAGAUGA